This 215-nucleotide long non-coding RNA is filed under the name Elaeis guineensis (African oil palm). RNAcentral describes it as "long non-coding RNA (EGUI_LNC037557)". The record is from RNAcentral. Lineage: Eukaryota; Viridiplantae; Streptophyta; Magnoliopsida; Arecales; Arecaceae.
CAGAGAGGAGGUAUAUUUUGUAGUCGUACCUCAUCAAUGGAUACUUUUGGUUAAGAAUUAUCUUGUACUUGUAUUUAUAGGUCUUGAACUUCUUUAAGUUCAAUUUUUUUCCCACUACCUCUUUUUAAGAUAAACUUUUUUUUCAUAAAAGUGGCAUGUUUACUGACAAACACCUUUUGUUCAAUAGGAUGAUAAAAAAGAUAUCCCAUACUCUU